UGUGUGCUCGGCUGACUGCACGUCCAGCCUCGGGCCAGCUCGAGACGGCCACAUUGCCUGGUUGAAGAUGGCUGAGCGUAAAACAGAAUGCAAGUCAGCUGGAGCACGUACUACUGGAGGCAGAGCCCCAUGAGAAGGGGCCAAGAACCCGCACCCAUCAAAAUCAAGAAGAAAGGCUGAACCCGGAGAGAAAAGGGAGGCCUCUGAGCCCAAGCCAAGCCAUCGCAUCCCCUGUGACUUGCCCGUAUAUAUGCCCAGAUGGCCUGAAGUAACUGAAGAAUCACAAAAGAAGUGAAUAUGCCUUGCCCCACCUUGACUGAUGACAUUCCACCACAAAAGAAGUGUAAAUGGCCGGUCCUUGCCUUAACUGAUGACAUUACCUUGUGAAAGUCCUUUUCCUGGCUCAUCCUGGCUCAAAAAGCACCCCCACUGAGCAUCUUGCGACUCCCACUCCUGCCCACUGAGCACCUUGUGACCCCCACUCCUGCCUGCCAGAGAACAAACCCCCUUUGACUGUAAUUUUCCUUUACCUACCCAAAUCCUAUAAAACGGCUCCACCCUUAUCUCCUUUUGCUGACUCUCUUUUCUGACUCAGCCCGCCUGCAC
RNAcentral lists this long non-coding RNA (606 nucleotides) under Homo sapiens (human). Its description in RNAcentral is "non-protein coding lnc-LGALSL-2:9". The record is from RNAcentral. Lineage: Eukaryota; Metazoa; Chordata; Mammalia; Primates; Hominidae.